RNAcentral lists this unclassified non-coding RNA (340 nucleotides) under soil metagenome. RNAcentral describes it as "partial contains 5.8S ribosomal RNA, internal transcribed spacer 2, and large subunit ribosomal RNA". The stretch from base 1 to 120 matches the Rfam family "5.8S ribosomal RNA", at positions 35 to 154 of the family's 154-position model. The record is from RNAcentral.
GAUGAAGAACGCAGCGAAACGCGAUACGUAAUGUGAAUUGCAGAAUUUAGUGAAUCAUCGAAUCUUUGAACGCACAUUGCGCCCUUUGGUAUUCCUUAGGGCAUGCCUGUUCGAGCGUCAUCUACACCCUCAAGCACAGCUUGGUGAUGGGCGCCUGUCCCGCCCCCCACGGGGGCGCGGACUCGCCUCAAAUGCAUUGGCGGCCGGCGACCUGGCUUCGAGCGCAGCAGAAACGCGUACUCGGGGACCGGGCGCCCGCUCCCAGAAGCCAACCCACCCAGUUUGACCUCGGAUCAGGUAGGGAUACCCGCUGAACUUAAGCAUAUCAAUAAGCGGAGGA